RNAcentral lists this RNase P RNA (385 nucleotides) under Pseudomonadota bacterium. RNAcentral's name for it is "Proteobacteria bacterium RNase P RNA component class A". It matches the Rfam family "Bacterial RNase P class A". Rfam says of the family: Ribonuclease P (RNase P) is a ubiquitous endoribonuclease, found in archaea, bacteria and eukarya as well as chloroplasts and mitochondria. Its best characterised activity is the generation of mature 5'-ends of tRNAs by cleaving the 5'-leader elements of precursor-tRNAs. Cellular RNase Ps are ribonucleoproteins. Lineage: Bacteria; Pseudomonadati; Pseudomonadota. The record is from RNAcentral.
GCGGUUUUGCGGAUGAUCGCCGCCAACGCUCUUCCUCGGAAGGGCCGCGGGGGAGGAAAGUCCGGACUCCAUAGGGUAGCGCAAAGGGUAACGCCCUUCUGCAGUAAUGCAAGGAACAGUGGAACAGAGAGAAUGUCCAGGGCUAUGAGCCGAUUUCCGGGAACGGGAGGGAUCGGGGAGCCGCUGGAGUGAAAACAGCAAAACUCUGCGCGGAGCAAGAUCAAAUAGGGGAGCAUUAGUACCACGACCCGUGGGUGGCUUCCGGGUAAGAUCGCUUGAGGGUGUCGGUGACGGCACUCCUAGAGGAAUGAUCAUCCAACUUCAUCGGGAAACUUUUGGGACCAGGUGAGAUGGACAGAAUCCGGCUUAUAGCAAAACCGCACUC